GGGAGUGGCAAGCGUUAUCCGGAAUUAUUGGGCGUAAAGCGUCCGCAGGCGGCCCUUCAAGUCUGUUGUUAAAAAGUGGAGCUUAACUCCAUCAUGGCAGUGGAAACUGUUGGGCUUGAGUGUGGUAGGGGCAGAGGGAAUUCCCGGUGUAGCGGUGAAAUGCGUAGAUAUCGGGAAGAACACCAGUGGCGAAGGCGCUCUGCUGGGCCAUCACUGACGCUCAUGGACGAAAGCCAGGGGAGCGAAAGGGAUUAGAUACCCCUGUAGUCCUGGCCGUAAACGAUGAACACUAGGUGUCGGGGGAAUCGACCCCCUCGGUGUCGUAGCCAACGCGUUAAGUGUUCCGCCUGGGGAGUACGCACGCAAGUGUGAAACUCAAAGGAAUUGACGGGGGCCCGCACAAGCGGUGGAGUAUGUGGUUUAAUUCGAUGCAACGCGAAGAACCUUACCAGGGUUUGACAUCCUGCGAAUCUCUUGGAAACAGGAGAGUGCCUUCGGGAACGCAGUGACAGGUGGUGCAUGGCUGUCGUCAGCUCGUGUCGUGAGAUGUUGGGUUAAGUCCCGCAACGAGCGCAACCCACGUCUUUAGUUGCCAGCAUUUAGUUGGGCACUCUAGAGAGACUGCCGGUGAUAAACCGGAGGAAGGUGUGGAUGACGUCAAGUCAUCAUGCCCCUUACAUCCUGGGCUACACACGUACUACAAUGCUACGGACAAAGGGCAGCAAGUUCGCGAGGACAAGCAAAUCCCAUAAACCGUGGCUCAGUUCAGAUCGUAGGCUGCAACUCGCCUACGUGAAGGCGGAAUCGCUAGUAAUCGCAGGUCAGCAUACUGCGGUGAAUACGUUCCCGGGCCUU
RNAcentral lists this ribosomal RNA (855 nucleotides) under uncultured cyanobacterium. Its description in RNAcentral is "bacterial SSU rRNA". It matches the Rfam family "Bacterial small subunit ribosomal RNA", at positions 527 to 1382 of the family's 1533-position model. Lineage: Bacteria; Bacillati; Cyanobacteriota. The record is from RNAcentral.